RNAcentral lists this ribosomal RNA (449 nucleotides) under uncultured bacterium. RNAcentral's name for it is "partial 16S ribosomal RNA". It matches the Rfam family "Bacterial small subunit ribosomal RNA", at positions 354 to 796 of the family's 1533-position model. The record is from RNAcentral.
GUCGAGAAUCUUUCACAAUGGGGGCAACCCUGAUGGAGCGACGCCGCGUGGAGGAUAAGGUCUUCGGAUUGUAAACUCCUGUCAUGCGUGAACAAGGUUGCUUGGUUAAUACCUGGGCAAAUUGAUGGUAACGCAAGAGGAAGAGACGGCUAACUCUGUGCCAGCAGCCGCGGUAAUACAGAGGUCUCAAGCGUUGUUCGGAAUCACUGGGCGUAAAGGGUGCGUAGGUGGCGUGGUAAGUCAGAUGUGAAAGCCCGGGGCUCAACCUCGGAACUGCAUCCGAUACUGCCAUGCUAGAGUACUGGAGAGGUGACUAGAAUUCUCGGUGUAGCAGUGAAAUGCGUAGAUAUCGAGAGGAAUACCAAAGGCGUAGGCAGGUCACUGGACAGUUACUGACACUGAGGCACGAAGGCCAGGGGAGCGAACGGGAUUAGAAACCCGAGUAGUCC